Long non-coding RNA from Helicoverpa armigera (cotton bollworm), 932 nucleotides. RefSeq lists it as uncharacterized. The record is from RefSeq and is a predicted model, not a curated record. Lineage: Eukaryota; Metazoa; Arthropoda; Insecta; Lepidoptera; Noctuidae. The transcript has 2 exons.
UUGAGAAUGAUGGUGAUUAGUUAGGUGACGGAAUUUCCUUAAGCUUGUGGAUGGAUGAAGACAUUCUGCAACAAAGAUUUCGGAUUGUGCCUAAUGCCUAUGAAAUAAAUAUAUCUACUUACAUCUUAAUGAAAGUACACCCUUUCAAUGAAUUUGAGCUCAUUAUUUGAAAUGGAUUCCUAAGAUUAUGAUUAGUUUUCUCAACUAACUGACUAAUAAUAAAUAACGCAUAUACAACAAACCUGUUUAUGGAACGUUCACCCUCUUAUUAUAAAACGCGGUAUCAAAUAAGUAUCGGCUUUUGUACUACCUUUAAUCCACCUUUAAGUACGACCUUGAAAAAACGUUAUUACAAAACGCAGUUUAUCGCAAGUCCUAUUACUAUCUGUAGUACAAAAGAUAAACCAUCGAGCCCCCUAGUUUAACUGCAGUACUUAGUCGACAAACGUCAAAUUCCGACAUUAUUUACUUUUGAGGUUAUUUGUUUUGUGAUGAAAAAAAACGAAAGUGGAUAUAAAUAUGUGUGAUUUGGAAUACUUGGAUGUGUUAGAAUACUAUUGAGAGUGUCCGGGGACUCAACAGAAUGCGUCAUCGACAAAAUCUCUUCAAAUUACCUGACGACAAUUUUCGAUAUAAAUAUCGAUUUACGUUUUUCGAAAUAAUAGUCAAUUGAAUGCAUGAUGAUAAUCCAGGAUGAUCCUAUGAUGCUCAACUGGGCUCGCCAUAAAAUUCAAGACUAUUUUGGCGUUUUGCACGCCGUAUCUCUGCCAGUAAUAUGCAAUGUUUGUAAAAGACUGGAAGCUUGCUAAAAUGUACAAAAAUGCCUAGAUGAGAAAGGGAACAAGAUUGUGUGAUGAAGAACAGUGUCCAACAUGUAUCAGUGCAUUUGACUGUAUAAAUAGACAUCGGAAUAAAAUAUAAUUUUCUACUUU